Long non-coding RNA from Helicoverpa zea (corn earworm), 615 nucleotides. RefSeq lists it as uncharacterized. NCBI's taxonomy places the organism in Eukaryota, Metazoa, Arthropoda, Insecta, Lepidoptera, Noctuidae. The transcript has 3 exons. The record is from RefSeq and is a predicted model, not a curated record.
UCGAGAUGUAUGGUCCCAAUGUACGGUGGGAAUCGAUCCUACUUGCUAAAUGUUUGAUGGUUUUGCUAAUUACAGGGGUGGGGUUGGGUGUCGAUUAUCGUGGGGUAAAACCUGGGAACUAUGGUAAUGUUGCAAAUGAUAUUUUAGUAAUUUUUGAAGUGAUGAUAAUAAUUAGAAGUAAAAAAGCUUGCUUAGGUAUCCAAAUCUCCUCUUUUCCCUAAAUGUUUUCAAUGGGUAACGUAUAUAAUGACUGACUGCACAUUGCCAAGUAUAAAAGAGGAGUACAAGGAGGAAAGUGAUUAGUAAAUAGCGUUUUGUCCGUGAAUCGUCCAAGAUGGCCGGCGUCGCGGCGCUAACGAUUUCAGCAAACAUAAUUAUUGAAAGUCGCACAUUCAUAGUGCUAUUUGAUCUUCACACGGAGUAAGGAAGAUAAGCGGAGAUGCCAUAAUGCAGCGAAAACAUUUGCUGUAUCAACUACACUGUGAGUAUAAAGGAAACAUCGAAAUACCUACUGUGAGAAAAGUUUACAAGCGACAAUUUUUUUAAGGAAAAUAGUUUUUACAGGUUAUGAUAAUUGCUGAUAAACUAUGUAAAUGUAAUAAAGUAUACCUUUUA